CUUUUAGCUCAAUUGGUUAGAACAGACGGCUCAUACCCAUCCAGUCGCAGGUUCAGACCCUACAAGG
This 67-nucleotide transfer RNA is filed under the name Enterococcus faecalis. RNAcentral's name for it is "tRNA-Met". Lineage: Bacteria; Bacillati; Bacillota; Bacilli; Lactobacillales; Enterococcaceae. The record is from RNAcentral.